GACGAACGCUGGCGGCGUGCUUAACACAUGCAAGUCGAACGGUAAGGCUCCAGCUUGCUGGGGUACACGAGUGGCGAACGGGUGAGUAACACGUGGGUGACCUGCCCUGCACUUCGGGAUAAGCCUGGGAAACUGGGUCUAAUACCGGAUAGGACCGCACCGUGAGGGUGUGGUGGAAAGUUUUUUCGGUGUGGGAUGGGCCCGCGGCCUAUCAGCUUGUUGGUGGGGUAAUGGCCUACCAAGGCGGCGACGGGUAGCCGGCCUGAGAGGGUGGACGGCCACAUUGGGACUGGGACACGGCCCAGACUCCUACGGGAGGCAGCAGUGGGGAAUAUUGCACAAUGGGCGGAAGCCUGAUGCAGCGACGCCGCGUGGGGGAUGACGGCCUUCGGGUUGUAAACUCCUUUCACCAUCGACGAAGGGUUUCUGACGGUAGAUGGAGAAGAAGCACCGGCUAACUACGUG
This 465-nucleotide ribosomal RNA is filed under the name uncultured bacterium. Its description in RNAcentral is "partial 16S ribosomal RNA". It matches the Rfam family "Bacterial small subunit ribosomal RNA", at positions 28 to 507 of the family's 1533-position model. The record is from RNAcentral.